Molecule: long non-coding RNA, 1230 nt
Filed under: Marmota monax (woodchuck)
Lineage: Eukaryota; Metazoa; Chordata; Mammalia; Rodentia; Sciuridae
Source: RNAcentral
GAGCCACUCCUGGGCCACACCUGGGCCACGCCUGAGCCACUCCUGGGCCACAACUGGGUCAUGCCUGAGCCACACCUGAGUCACGCCUGAGCCACACCUGAGUCACGCCUGGGCCACACCUGGGCCACCUGGGCCACCCUGGGCCACCUGGGCCACCCUGGGCCACACCUGGGCCAUUCCUGGGCCAUACCUGGGUCAUGCCUGAGCCACACCUAGACCACUCCUGGGCCACACCUGGGCCACACCUGAGUCACGCCUGGGCCACACCUGGGCCACACCUGGGCCACGCCUGAGCCACUCCUGGGUCACGCCUGGGCCACUCCUGGGUCACGCCUGGGUCACGCCUGAGCCGCUCCUGGGCCAUACCUGAGCCACUCCUGGGCCACACUGGGCCACCUGGGCCACCCUGGGCCACCUGGGCCACUCCUGGACCACACCUGAGUCACGCCUGGGCCAUACCUGGGCCACACCUGGGUCACUCCUGGGUCACAACUGAGCCACUCCUGGGCCACACUGGGCCACCUGGGCCACACUGGACCACACCUGGGCCACGCCUGGGCCACGCCUGGGAGUGCCCCCCACUGCUCCUCGGAGCUGCCUGGGCUGGCCUCCUGUGCACGCAGGACUGGGGAGGGCUGUGGUCUCGGCCACCCCCCUGAGCUGCUGCCUGUGGGCAGCCCCGGCCAUCAGGGCCUGUCCUCACCCUCUGGGCCUCUGCCCUGUGUCAGUCUGACUCAAGGACGAGGGCGACGCUGGCGUUAGCCUGGCCACCUCCUGAGAGGCUGCCCCUUGCAGGCCUCAGGGUCCCCAGCUGGAGAUGGGGGUGCUGCUUCUGCCCCGCAGGCUGCUGGGGAGCCGCAGUCCACGGUGACCAGGGGGCUGCUCCCUCGAGGUCCCUGAGGCUCGUGUCCCCAACCUUGGGAAGACGACAUCUGUCUGAGCCUCGGCUCCCAGGCCUGGAUGCUUCUAGAACUGGCACCGCCGGCCUUUGUCCUUCUGCGGGGCCAGCCUCAGAAGCUCCCGGAGGAGGGUGGGAAGACCUUGUCAUUUAUCAGAGAGAGGAGAGGCAAGCCCUAGGCGGGACACAAGAAGGGACUUCCAGAGGUCAGGAGGAGUGUCGGGAGCCUCGAGCAGGUGAUGGCUUGUGGGUGAGGCUGGUCUCAGCUGCGGUGGGUGGUCGCUGCCCACCACGUGGGCCCGGGGACCCCUCACCAGGUGGCCGUCAGCCCC